Molecule: ribosomal RNA, 1338 nt
Filed under: metagenome
Description: bacterial LSU rRNA
Rfam family: Bacterial large subunit ribosomal RNA
Source: RNAcentral
UGAGUACGAGCGGCUACGGCCGCGAAGUGGAUGAUGUCAAGCUUCCAAGAAAAGCCCUAUACCCGUUAAGGCAUGAUGGCCUGUACCCGAAACCGACACAGGUGGGGUGGUAGAGAAUACCGAGGGGCGCGAGGUAACUCUCUCUAAGGAACUCGGCAAAAUGGCCCCGUAACUUCGGGAGAAGGGGUGCCACCGCGAGGUGGUCGCAGUGAAGAGGCCCAGGCGACUGUUUACCAAAAACACAGGUCUCCGCUAAGUCGCAAGACGAUGUAUGGGGGCUGACGCCUGCCCAGUGCCGGAAGGUUAAGGAAGCUGGUCAGCGCAAGCGAAGCUGGCGACUGAAGCCCCGGUGAACGGCGGCCGUAACUAUAACGGUCCUAAGGUAGCGAAAUUCCUUGUCGGGUAAGUUCCGACCCGCACGAAAGGCGUAACGAUCUGGGCGCUGUCUCGGAGAGAGGCUCGGCGAAAUAGAAUUGUCUGUGAAGAUGCGGACUACGUGCACCCGGACAGAAAGACCCUAUGAAGCUUUACUGUAGCUUGGUAUUGUGCUCGGGCUCGGAAUGCGCAGGAUAGGUGGGAGGCUUUGAUCCAUUGCUUGCGGGUGAUGGUGAGCCACUGGUGAGAUACCACUCUUUCCGAGCUAGAGUUCUAACAGCAACCCGUUAUCCGGGUGCUGGACAGUAUCAGGUGGGCAGUUUGACUGGGGCGGUCGCCUCCUAAAAGGUAACGGAGGCGCGCAAAGGUCUGCUCAGGCUGGUUGGAAAUCAGCCGACGAGUGUAAAAGCAGAAGCAGGCUUGACUGUGAGACCUACAAGUCGAACAGGGAGGAAACUCGGCUUUAGUGAUCCGACGGUUCUGCGUGGAAGGGCCGUCGCUCAACGGAUAAAAGUUACUCUAAGGAUAACAGGCUGAUCUCCCCCAAGAGUUCACAUCGACGGGGAGGUUUGGCACCUCGAUGUCGGCUCAUCGCAACCUGGGGCUGAAGUCGGUCCCAAGGGUUGGGCUGUUCGCCCAUUAAAGCGGUACGCGAGCUGGGUUCAGAACGUCGUGAGACAGUUCGGUCCAUAUCCGGUGCACGCGCAGGAAUAUUGAGAGGAUUUCUCCCUAGUACGAGAGGACCGGGAGGAACGCACCUCUGGUGUGCCAGUUAUCGUGCCAACGGUAAACGCUGGGUAGCCAUGUGCGGAGUGGAUAACCGCUGAAAGCAUCUAAGUGGGAAGCCCACCUCAAGAUGAGUAUUCCCAUGGCAUAAGCCAGUAAGGUCACGGGAAGAACACCCGUUGAUAGGCUCUACGUGGAAGCGCAGUAAUGUGUGAAGCGGAGGAGUACUAAUAGACC